AGCAGACAAAGCCCCGGGAAUCCAAGCAAUCUCCUUGGGGGUUACACAGAUAUAAAUAUGCAGGCCAGGAUCAGGCUGGAGAUGACUAGGUGGAUCCAAUCAAGGAGGCACAGGCCUCAGAAAAUCCAGUGUUUGAACCUCACCUUUUCUCCAGAAUUCUGGAUGUGCUGGCAAAUUUAGCCAGGAAAUGGAAUUGGAAUCAGUUUUCAGCAAGGAAUCUCCUACUCAGAGAAACAUGGGUGAGAAGAGGCUUCUGCUGCUGCUCUUUAUGCUAUCUGCUCCAUGAAGGUCUGCAGUCAGACAAGUGGGAAAGUGAGCCCUAAAGCAUGAAAAACUAAAGUGUUGCCUGCUGAAAUAUGGGUAGUUCACAAUAAAGUUUGGAAGAAAUUCCUCCAUUGAGUUGUCACAGUCACAUUGUAAUACAAUUCCUACAGUUCUCAGGAGGGCUGAGUUUCAAACAAGCAUACACUGGAAAUUGUACAUCAAGAUAUUUUAGCCUUUGUAAAUUUAGUUUUAGUUUUACUAGUUGAGCGCUGUCUCCUUUUUCCUCUUUAUUUCAUCUCUCCUCCUCUCCCAACACCAUCUUGUUUUGUUCUCCUUAUGCCGCCUGCCCAUGCUGUUCUGAUUCCGAGUCACCUUUUCUUCUACUCCAUGGCAUUUCAUUCCUCUUCUGUAGAU
Molecule: non-coding RNA, 678 nt
Organism: Pelodiscus sinensis (Chinese soft-shelled turtle)
Lineage: Eukaryota; Metazoa; Chordata; Testudines; Trionychidae
Source: RefSeq, a predicted model, not a curated record